Long non-coding RNA from Myxocyprinus asiaticus (Chinese sucker), 1199 nucleotides. RefSeq lists it as uncharacterized. NCBI's taxonomy places the organism in Eukaryota, Metazoa, Chordata, Actinopteri, Cypriniformes, Catostomidae. The record is from RefSeq and is a predicted model, not a curated record. The transcript is spliced from 8 exons.
AUGUUAGCUAAUAAGUAGUUUUCAAAAGGCAAGAUAGUUAGUGUCAUGGAGCCUAUGUUUUAAAUAUAAUUUUUGGACGUUACACAUACUACCGUUAUUGUAAAUAUUACUUGUAUUUAUUUUCAUGUAUUAUAAAAAAAAUUCAGCUAUCACAAGAAAACAGCCACAGCAAUGGCAAGUCAGGGCCUUACAACAUCAACACCAAGUAAGCAACCAGGUUUGCUGUGCCAUCCAGCAUCAACAAUCGGAGAUGAUUCUGAUCGUGAUAACUUUGGUGUGGCAGAAGUUGGACCACUAGCAGAGGAACAAGGUUUAGAGGCUUUGGAAGAAAGACCCAGAGAAAGGGAGGUACAAAGAAUAUGGUUGUAAAAGAUGAGGCGAGGAGCAGUUUUUCCUUCUUCAGGAAGGAAUAAUAUCUGGACAGUCGGUCAUACUAGUAUGGCUAAAGGAUAUUGUCAAUCAUUUUUGGUUUUGUUGCUAGAAGGCAGACAAUCGAGAGGAGUUCGUGGGUAUGUGGUGUGAGGUGCUUCAUCAUGUCUGUGACAUACAUGAAUGGGCCCUUGGCAAUGUCAGCAUCAACCACUGGGUGCGACAAGCUGUGACAAAGAGUGCCAUAGUAUCUGGUUCUGCAGCACAUGAGGCACUCUCACAGAUUGUGCUCAACAGACGCUGGCUGAAGGAUGUUGAGAAGUUUCUGACCUUUCGGUCAACUUCAGAUCUUGAGUCCUUUCAGAACCACAUUCUUAUGUAUGCUGGUAAGCGGUUUGCCUUUUCUCCUCCAGUGUAUGAAGCAAGGACACUUCUCGCUGCAUUGGAUUACAACCACCACAACCACCGGCCAGUGAAUGUCAACCACAAAGGCAAAGUUUCGUUGCCAAGGACUACAGCUACAUCCCUCAACUGCAGCGUAAAAUUCUAGGAAAACGUUUGAACUCUGCUGAGGGAUUCAGUAGACAGAGAAGUCUCAGGAUGGACGACCCACGGACUCUUGGUGGCCUUCCCAGAGUUGUGCCUCCACCAUCAGCUGAACUGGCCCAGGCACAAAUCAGAAGAGGACAGGAGAUGACUUCUGCUAAAUGAGCAAAUGGAGCAAAAAAAAAAAAAAAAAAAGGAAAAGAAAUUGUUUACAGAACAAUCGUUUAUUUAUUAAAUCUAACAAAAAUGUUUAAAAAAAUAAUAUAUAUAAGUAUAAUAUAGAU